UUUAAGUGCGACAAGUUUCCGCGCCCAACUUUGAUAAUUCGUCUUAUUUAAAAUUUUUUAUAAUUAGUAUUUUUAUUAUUAUGAGAUGAUAAAGCAUGAAUGGUACUUUAUAUAUAACUUAUAACUUAUGCUUUUAAUUUUUUUAAAUUUUUUUAAAAUAAAACAGAUGAUUAAAGUUGUGUAAAAAAAUCAUGGCUGCACUUAAA
Non-coding RNA from Oryza barthii, 206 nucleotides. The record is from Rfam. Lineage: Eukaryota; Viridiplantae; Streptophyta; Magnoliopsida; Poales; Poaceae.